RNAcentral lists this ribosomal RNA (450 nucleotides) under uncultured bacterium. RNAcentral's name for it is "partial 16S ribosomal RNA". It matches the Rfam family "Bacterial small subunit ribosomal RNA", at positions 354 to 796 of the family's 1533-position model. The record is from RNAcentral.
GUGGGGAAUCUUCCGCAAUGGACGAAAGUCUGACGGAGCGACGCCGCGUGAGUGAAGAAGGCCUUCGGGUCGUAAAGCUCUGUCAUCAGGGACGAACGGCCGGUGGAGUGGAAAGCCACCGGAUUGACGGUACCUGAGAAGGAAGCCACGGCUAACUACGUGCCAGCAGCCGCGGUAAUACGUAGGUGGCAAGCGUUGUCCGGAAUUAUUGGGCGUAAAGCGCGCGCAGGUGGGAUCUUAAGUCCAUUUUUAAAGUUCGGAGCUCAACUCCGUGAUGGGAUGGAAACUGGGAUUCUUGAGUACCGGAGAGGAAAGCGGAAUUCCUAGUGUAGCGGUGAAAUGCGUAGAUAUUAGGAGGAACACCAGUGGCGAAGGCGGCUUUCUGGACUGUAACUGACACUGAGGCUCGAAAGCCAGGGGAGCGAACGGGAUUAGAAACCCUAGUAGUCC